GAUGAACGCUAGCUACAGGCUUAACACAUGCAAGUCGAGGGGCAGCAUGGUCUUAGCUUGCUAAGGCCGAUGGCGACCGGCGCACGGGUGAGUAACACGUAUCCAACCUGCCGUCUACUCUUGGACAGCCUUCUGAAAGGAAGAUUAAUACAAGAUGGCAUCAUGAGUCCGCAUGUUCACAUGAUUAAAGGUAUUCCGGUAGACGAUGGGGAUGCGUUCCAUUAGAUAGUAGGCGGGGUAACGGCCCACCUAGUCUUCGAUGGAUAGGGGUUCUGAGAGGAAGGCCCCCCACAUUGGAACUGAGACACGGUCCAAACUCCUACUGGAGGCAGCAGUGAGGAAUAUUGGUCAAUGGGCGAGAGCCUGAACCAGCCAAGUAGCGUGAAGGAUGACUGCCCUAUGGGUUGUAAACUUCUUUUAUAAAGGAAUAAAGUCGGGUAUGGAUACCCGUUUGCAUGUACUUUAUGAAUAAGGAUCGGCUAACUCCGUG
RNAcentral lists this ribosomal RNA (490 nucleotides) under uncultured bacterium. Its description in RNAcentral is "partial 16S ribosomal RNA". It matches the Rfam family "Bacterial small subunit ribosomal RNA", at positions 28 to 507 of the family's 1533-position model. The record is from RNAcentral.